RNAcentral lists this transfer RNA (71 nucleotides) under Ictidomys tridecemlineatus (thirteen-lined ground squirrel). RNAcentral describes it as "Spermophilus tridecemlineatus (thirteen-lined ground squirrel) tRNA". It matches the Rfam family "tRNA". Rfam says of the family: Transfer RNA (tRNA) molecules are approximately 80 nucleotides in length. Lineage: Eukaryota; Metazoa; Chordata; Mammalia; Rodentia; Sciuridae. The record is from Rfam by way of RNAcentral.
UGGGGUAUAGCUUAGUAGUAGAGCACUUGCCUAGCAUGUGUGAAGCCCUAUGUUCAUUCACAGUACACCAA